GGAGGCGUCAGGGUUCCUGGUGGGCCCCGCGGUCUUCAACACCGUAGUGGGGGCGCAAGCUCCCAGGCGGGUUCGAUUCCCGUCCGCCUCCG
Molecule: transfer RNA, 92 nt
Filed under: Actinomycetota bacterium
Lineage: Bacteria; Bacillati; Actinomycetota
Description: Actinobacteria bacterium tRNA-Sec
Rfam family: Selenocysteine transfer RNA
Source: RNAcentral